Molecule: long non-coding RNA, 811 nt
Filed under: Marmota monax (woodchuck)
Lineage: Eukaryota; Metazoa; Chordata; Mammalia; Rodentia; Sciuridae
Source: RNAcentral
GGAAUAAACCUUACUGACACCUUGCUCUGGACAUUUAACAUUCAGAACUGCAAUGGAAUAAAUCUCUGUGGAUUCAAGCCCCUAAGGAAAUGAACACAGGGCCAAUACACUCACUCACUACAGCUGCCGAUAAGCUUCUGAUUGCUAUCACCCAUGUUCUUGGGUCACCAUGUUCCGCCAUGUUUGAAUUCCUUUCCGCUGCCUUCUACUGGAUCUUCCUCUCCCUGACUGAUUUUCAAUAACCAGCCCAACCUCAGAGUUUUUCUAGUUUUAGGGGCUGAAUCCCCAUAGUUCACCCCUGCCUGAAACUGACAAGUUUAGGAGGUAAAUCCCCAGAUUUCCAUUACUGUGUAGACCAGGGUUUCCCCCCAUUGCCUCUGUACACAGAUUUUUGUCUGCUAACUAGUAUUCAAAGCAACCAUCUAAAACCCUCAAGCCUUCACUCUCUCAAUUGUUGGUCCACAGUAGCUACCCCUGCUGGGUCAUAGGAAGUACAAAAAGCACAAUGUAGCAGCUUGCAGGGUUAAAUGUGGGGCCAGCUUCUUUUGAACCCUAUGGAAGUUAGCUUCUGCAUGCCUCUCUUCAAGGUUUUAUCUGGUGCAUCAAUACAGCUCUGUGAUCACUGGCUAUCCCACCCACAGAGACUUCAGCAAACUGCAUGGGUAGGCACAACAGGUAUACCCAGAAACAUCCCCCUGCACUCCCUCUUAAUUACUCAGGCUCAAUUCACCUAUGUAUGUAACUUGUGUUCAUUUCCUUCAUAACCUCAUUAUUUAUCUACUGCAUGGCUCAAUUCUCUCUGCUGCAAUUA